Molecule: unclassified non-coding RNA, 138 nt
Filed under: uncultured Helotiales
Lineage: Eukaryota; Fungi; Ascomycota; Leotiomycetes; Helotiales
Description: sequence contains ITS2
Source: RNAcentral
CAACCCUCAAGCCUUGCUUGGUGUUGGGCCCUGCCUCGCGGCCGGCCUCAAAGUUAGUGGCGGUGCCGUCUGUUCCUAAGCGUAGUACUUCUCUCGCUCUAGGGACCGGCGGUGGCCUGCCCGAACCCCAACUCCUCU